RNAcentral lists this ribosomal RNA (501 nucleotides) under uncultured bacterium. RNAcentral's name for it is "bacterial SSU rRNA". It matches the Rfam family "Bacterial small subunit ribosomal RNA", at positions 903 to 1397 of the family's 1533-position model. The record is from RNAcentral.
AAAGGAAUAGACGGGGGCUCACACAAGCGGUGGAGGAUGUGGUUUAAUUCGAAGCAACGCGCAGAACCUUACCAGGUCUUGACAUGCUGGGAUUAAUUGGAUGAAAGUCCGAAGAUUGCCCGCAAGGGUGUAACCAGCACAGGUGCUGCAUGGCUGUCGUCAGCUCGUGCCGUGAGGUGUCAGGUUAAGUCCUUUAACGAGCGAAACCCCUAUGUCGAGUUGCCAGCGGGUAAAGCCGGGAACUCUCGACAGACUGCCGCGCAAGCUGGAGGAGGGAGGGGACGACGUCAAGUCAUCAUGGCCUUUAUGACCUGGGCCACACACGUCCUACAAUGGGUGGUACAACGGGAAGCUAAACCGCGAGGUCGAGCCAAUCCCUGAAAGCCACCCUCAGUUCGGAUUGCGGGCUGCAAUUCGCCCGCAUGAAGCUGGAAUCGCUAGUAAUCGCGGAUCAGCCACGCCGCGGUGAAUAUGUUCCUGAGCCUUGUACACACCGCCCGU